This 565-nucleotide ribosomal RNA is filed under the name uncultured bacterium. RNAcentral describes it as "bacterial SSU rRNA". It matches the Rfam family "Bacterial small subunit ribosomal RNA", at positions 337 to 916 of the family's 1533-position model. The record is from RNAcentral.
UCCUACGGGAGGCAGCAGUGGGGAAUUUUCCGCAAUGGGCGAAAGCCUGACGGAGCAACGCCGCGUGAGGGAUGAAGGCCUCUGGGCUGUAAACCUCUUUUCUCAAGGAAGAAGAUAUGACGGUACUUGAGGAAUAAGCCACGGCUAAUUCCGUGCCAGCAGCCGCGGUAAUACGGGAGUGGCAAGCGUUAUCCGGAAUUAUUGGGCGAAAAGCGUCCGCAGGCGGCCCUUCAAGUCUGCUGUAAAAACGUGGAGCUUAACUCCAUCAUCGCAGUGGAAACUGUAGGGCUUGAGUUUGGUAGGGGCAGAGGGAAUUCCCGGUGUAGCGGUGAAAUGCGUAGAUAUCGGGAAGAACACCAGUGGCGAAGGCGCUCUGCUGGGCCAUAACUGACGCUCAUGGACGAAAGCCAGGGGAGCGAAAGGGAUUAGAUACCCCUGUAGUCCUGGCCGUAAACGAUGAACACUAGGUGUCGGGGGAAUCGACCCCCUCGGUGUCGUAGCUAACGCGUUAAGUGUUCCGCCUGGGGAGUACGCACGCAAGUGUGAAACUCAAAGGAAUUGACGG